This is a long non-coding RNA of Nycticebus coucang (slow loris), 1830 nucleotides long. RefSeq lists it as uncharacterized. Lineage: Eukaryota; Metazoa; Chordata; Mammalia; Primates; Lorisidae. The transcript is spliced from 4 exons. The record is from RefSeq and is a predicted model, not a curated record.
AGCGGACUGGGGGUUUAUCAGCCAUUGUUCCGGGGAUCUAAGUCACUUCCCCAUCAAGGGGGCUGCGGGGUUGUGCUCGUUAAUGAUUUCUGGGCAAGGAGCUCGGCUUCUGAUGGGGGAGCCAGUUUGGCGAGGCUGCCGGGGAGAGGAGUGCUGGGCUCCGUCGGGCGAGCCGGCUGUCCUAGUUACCCGCAAGGCCUGCAGUCUGCGGGGGCUCAGCAGCCGGGCUCAACGAUUGGUUACAAUAAAACAGGGAGGUCUGUCUGAGUGGGGGGGCGCCUCCCCUCCCCUGCCCACGCUGCCGCCCCCUCCCCAGUCCGGCGCCCGGCACUCUAGGGAGCACCAGCGGCGCCUGCGCGCUACGCUCGGUGCCGCCGCCCGGCUGUCCCCACCUCCCCGCUCGGCAGGCAGCGGGCCGGGCCUGGCGGGACCCGGUGGACUAGUGCGAAGCUGACCGCAGGAAUCCAGGCUCCUUAGAGGCCUGGGCGGGUGGGGGGCGAGGAAGACUGCCUGCUGGGCCCCCCCAUCCCCCGGCUCCUGGCUCCCAAGGAAUCGUGGGGAACGUGUCUGUUGCUCUGCAGAGCCAGCAGGGUCUCACUUUGUUACCCAGAUGUGACGGCAAUUGGCAUGAUCAUAGAUCACAGCAACCUCAAAAUUCUGGGCUCAAGAGAUCCUCUUGCUUCAGCCUCCUGACUGUCUGAGAUUACAGGAUCUGGAAAACGCACCGAAAACAGAAACCUUGUCUGGUGUGCCACAAAGGGCUGGCCCAGCAGGUGGACAGGGGUGCCCAAUGGACACUCCUUUCUUACCUGUAAGGAGCUGCUUCACUCUCCUCUGACUCUUCUUCCCUCCCAAUCACACAGGGAGGAUGACAGGAAAUCAUAAGAUGCCUUUCUACACUUCAGUGGCCUUUGCUUACACUUAAAAAACAACAGUCCAACAGGAAUGGAACUAAAAGGGGGAGGGUAUUUCUUAACAUAUGUUGACCAAAUGAAGGGACAAUGCUUGACUUUCUCAACCAGGACAGCAUUACUGGGGAGAUGACUCUCUGGAUGGCUUCUUAAGUAUAAUCCUAGCAGAACGGCUGGAGUGAAAGCAACGCUCAUACGUGCAGUGGCGAUAUUUAUCCUCAGAUUUAUUACUUUAAAUACACUUGCCUGGCUCUGAACAGAGAUCAAAGCGAACGGCACCAAUAAUGGGACAAAUUGACAAUGUGUGUCCUCUGAUUUGACGCACUGAGAGGAACACAGCACCAUCUGUGAUCUCCCUGGUCAGUCGUAAGGAAACAUCAUCCAAACCCAAAUUGAGGGGAUUCUGCAGAAUAACUGGCUUGACAUGUUCAAAAAUAUUGAGGUAAUGAAAGACAAGAAAAGUUUAAAGAAUCAUUCCAGAAUGAAGAAGGCCGAAGAGACAGAAGUAAAUGUAGCAUGCGAUCCUGGACUGGAUUCCAAAACAGGACCAACAUGUAUUGGAGCAACAGGUGAAUGGGAAUGGGCCGGGUUGAUUAGACGGCGAUAUGAGAUGAUGAUACUCUGCCCUUGUCAAUUUCCUGCGUUUGAAAGGUAAAUUGUGGUUAAGUGGGAGAACGUCUUUGUCUUUUAGGGAAUUCACAGUGACAUUGCUUCUUGGACUGUGGUGUCGUGUCUCCGACUUUCAGGAAGCGUCUCCAAUUUGUUUCAGGAACACAGAUCGAUAAUGGAGAGAUCGAUACUGAUGAAGCGGAAGUGACAAUCUGUCAGCAAUUGAACCUGAGCAAAGAGCACAAGGCAAUUCUUUGCAUCAUUAUUUUAUCUUUUCUGUAAAUUCGAAAUUAUUUCCAAAUAAAAAGUU